Molecule: long non-coding RNA, 687 nt
Organism: Neofelis nebulosa (Clouded leopard)
Lineage: Eukaryota; Metazoa; Chordata; Mammalia; Carnivora; Felidae
Exons: 3
Source: RefSeq, a predicted model, not a curated record
UUCACAGGUGAUGGAUUUGUUUUCUAGUCUGGGAAGAUGAUCAACAAAACUGCUUGCAGAUAUUUAGGAGAUGUCUUUUGGAGCACGCGAAGAUGCAUUGAUGUUUGAUAUUUCAAUCUAUUGGGGGAGGAGCCAAGAUGGCGGAAGAGUAUGGAAGUUUUUUGUGUGUCUUGCGUCCAUGAAAUACAACCAGACCAACACUAAACCAUCCAACACACUUAGAAAACUGAUUGGAGGAUUAACACAACAAUCUGCACAACCUGAACCACAGUAUUCAGCAGAGAGAGUGAGAGACAGAGACACCAGUGGGGGCAGGGCCCAGAGAGAGAUGGAGACACAGAAUCUGAAGCAGGCUCCAGGCUCCAGAGCUGUCAGCACAGUGCCCGAUGUGGGGCUUGAACUCAUGGACCAUGAGAUCAUGACCUGGGCCAAAGUCAGACGCCUAACCAACUGAGACACCCAGGUACCUCUAAGUGUUACAUUUAAAUCUGCGAUCCAUUUUGUAUUAAUUUUUGUGUAAGGUGUGAGGAUGGGGUUCGACUUCAUUCUUACAUGUAUCCCAUUGUCACAGUACCAUUUUCAAAACAAAACUUGAUCUUAUCAACAACUAGCCCCUGUCUCCUCUCAUACAUACUUACAUGCACACACAGACACACCCUUGAACAGUUUCCCAUUUCUCUCAGCCAA